RNAcentral lists this unclassified non-coding RNA (256 nucleotides) under Ascomycota sp. RNAcentral's name for it is "partial contains small subunit ribosomal RNA, internal transcribed spacer 1, and 5.8S ribosomal RNA". The stretch from base 1 to 47 matches the Rfam family "Eukaryotic small subunit ribosomal RNA", at positions 1785 to 1831 of the family's 1831-position model. Lineage: Eukaryota; Fungi; Ascomycota. The record is from RNAcentral.
AAAGUCGUAACAAGGUUUCCGUAGGUGAACCUGCGGAAGGAUCAUUAUCCUUUUAUCAGGGGAUUGGUGUCAGCGUCCAGGGCUUUGUUCUGCUCUUUGACCCUUUCUCUUCUGAUUAUACCCAUGUUUUUGCGUACUAUUUGUUUCCUUGGUGGGCUCGCCUGCCAAUAGGACAAACCAAAACCCCUUGUAAUUGCAGUCAGCGUCAGUAACAAUGUAAUAAUUACAACUUUCAACAACGGAUCUCUUGGUUCUG